GGUCAAUCUUAAAUGCUGUAUAGGAGGAUCUCAUUGAGAAGAUAUCAUUUGAGCAAAGAUGUAAAGCAAGGGAGGGAAUGAGUCAGUGGCUACAUAGCGAGAGUGUCCUAGGCAGAGGAAACAGCUUCUACAAAAGCCCUGAAGCAAGAGAAUGUUUGAAGUGUUCAAGAAUAAACAGGAGAUGCAGAAUGAAUGGAAUUGAGAGUGAGUGAGGCAGUCGGAUACAAGAGAGACUAAUAUGGGGCAGCACUGAAGACUGCUGACAGCAGCCACAUGAGUGAGCUCAGAGUGGACACAACAGCCCCUUCAGAGGCUGCAGGGAUGGCAGACAGCCUGACUGCAAUGUCGUGAAAGAUGCUGAGGCAGAACCAUGCAGCAAAGUCAUUCCCAGAUUCCUGACUCUCAGAAAAUUGUUACUUUAGAGAAGUCUGAACUUGCCCUUUUUUUCAUCUUUAUGCCUGAGGAAAUUUUUC
Molecule: long non-coding RNA, 473 nt
Filed under: Homo sapiens (human)
Lineage: Eukaryota; Metazoa; Chordata; Mammalia; Primates; Hominidae
Description: non-protein coding lnc-C3orf30-2:2
Source: RNAcentral